Long non-coding RNA from Gopherus flavomarginatus (Mexican gopher tortoise), 4735 nucleotides. RefSeq lists it as uncharacterized. Lineage: Eukaryota; Metazoa; Chordata; Testudines; Testudinidae. The record is from RefSeq and is a predicted model, not a curated record. The transcript has 2 exons.
ACUGGGACCCAGGCGGGCAGGGGAUGGGAUCGUUGGGUUAUCAAUCAUUGUGUGGGACAGGAUGCCACAGCUGGUGGCAGCAGAGGGGAGAGCCCAAGUAAUUGGCCUCUGUACGGUCAGGACAGCUGUUGGAGCGCUAUAGACAGUGAUUGAUUUAUCAAGGUUACAGGAGGGGCAAGGACUCAGCGGCAGGCUGAGGAGAAAGGUAUUUGUCAUACGAGAGAGAUUUGUGCCUGCAGUCGCACUAAACUUCACAGCGUUUAUUUAAUCCUUUAUAUCACUGAUAGGUUGGUGACUUCAAGUGACUUCUAGCCGACUGAACUUCCCUAUUCAAUCUGCAUUGGAGUGUGACAGAUGUGUCACUUGAGAUGGUUUCUGCUGAUAGUUGAGUGGCAGAGGAAACUACCUCUCCUAAUACUCAUGGAUAGAAACAAAUGUUCUUUUCACUCAGAUCUCUCCCUCCUCAGUGUCAGGGAUUCUUGUGGGAGAAAUAAUAACUGGCUGGUAAAACAUUCUGCUGUUUUGGGGAACUAGGUGUCACAGGUUGCUUAGAGAUGAGUUUCCUGUUUCUGUGGGUGGAAAAGAAUCUGUUAACUCUUGGCACAUUAUGUAGAUGUGAAAAGAUAUCACUGAGCAGACAAACAAAGCCAAAGCCCAAUAUAUUCCAUAGGCAGUGCUUCCUGCUCUCAGUCCCUGCUGCCCAGCUGUAGAUGUCCCUUUAUAAGCCUCUUUAAAUCAGUGUCAGACAUUCAAUUAUCUGACAUCUUAUCAUCAGUGCAGACCACAAAAAUAUCCUUGUAACCCCCUGUUUCAGGGGCCUCCAGUCUUAUGUCACCCUCUCUGACUUGGGCAGCUGGCUAGUACCCAACCUGAAACAAUCCGAGCAAGAUGGUUUUUACUAGCAAAAGGUAUUUUUCGAAAUUGUUUCUGAUUCAUCGACCCAGGGGCGACUCCAGGCACGAGCACACCAAGCGCAUGCUUGGGGCGGCAAGCCACGGGGGGCACUCUGCCGGUCACCGCGUGGGCAACAGGCAGGCUGCCUUCGGCAGCAUGCCUGUGGAGGGUCCGCUGGUCCCGCAGCUUCGGCGGACCUCCUGCAGGUUGCCACCGAAUUCGUGGGACCGGGGACCUCCUGCAGGCAAACCGCUGAAGGCAGCCUGCCUGCUGUGCUUGGGGCAGCAAAAUGCCUAGAGCCGCCCCUGCAUCCACCUGUGACUGAAAAUGCAGCUGCAUCUUACAACCUACAGUCCCACUGAAAUCUUUGGGCUACAUUAUGGCUGGGUUGCAUUUAAAUUCUUUGUAUUUCUGCUCAGCUUUCUUCAUAUAAAGGUUUAUUUCUUGUUCACCUUUGGAGUGGCUAUCUUUUGUUGUUGUUGUUGUUGUUGCUUUCUCCUUGUGGCUCUUUAAUACAGAGAACUCCUCUCUUACCCUUUUCUUAAAUGGUUCAUCAUUCAUUUUUGUUGCUAAGUGGUACAGUACCAGAUCAUAGAAUAUCAGGGUUGGAAGGGACCUCAAGAGGUCAUCUAGUCCAACUCCCUGCUCAGAGGGGGACCAAUGCCCAGACAGAUUUUUACCCCAGUUCCCUAAAUGGCCCCCUUAAGGAUUGGGCUCACAAUGCUGGGUUUAGCAGGCCAGUGCUCAACCCACUGAGCUAUCCCUCCUGCAGAUGCUGGGGGACUUGUGAAAGAAAAAAUGAUGUUUAGAAAGGUGCUAAAGAUGUCUGCAGUUUCAUUGGUUCUUCUGCCUCUUAAUUGUGUUUUGGGAGACAAAACUAACAGGUAAAAAUGGUGUUCUUCCUGCUUCCCUUUCCAACCUUCCUAAAAUAAUAAUAAUAAUUAAUUUAAAAAAUCACUGCUGUUGCACAUUGAUCUCCUUCAUAUAAAUCACAUCUGGUGUUUGGGAUAUUUUAGCCAAUCCAGAGGGCUAGGAUAUCAUUUUUGGUAGAUAAAUUUCAGAAUCUAAACCUCCUCCAAUUUUGAAGCAUUUUAGAACACUGUUUGUACUUGCCUACCCUGAAAGCUGAUCCAUACACCCUUAAUCUUAUCAGCUGUGCACUGCUCCCAGCUGGUUUCACACUGAAUAGCUGACAGGUGGGAAUCAUACAUAGGUGCUGGAACUGAGGUGCUGGCGGGGGUGUGGCAGCACCUCCUGGCUUGAAGUGGUUUCCAUUUUAUAUAUAUAAUAUAGCUUACAGUUUGGUUAAAUGGCUCUCAGCACCCCCACUCUUAAAAAUUGCUUCACCAUCCCUGGAAUUACAUUGAGGGUAGCAUGAGAAAUAUAAGAAGGAAGAGGGGCACUAUUGAUUUAAAGAAAUAUUCCUUAGAAAAAGUGAUAAAAUACAAGUCAGGACAUACUGGUAAAUAUCAGACUUACUUCAGAACUGGAUGUCACCUCUUCACCACCAAUCCUGUAUUUAUUUGUUUGAUUUUUGCCUGUGGGAAUAGAAGCAGGAAAUAAAAGGAACUGGGGCUCACUGAAGAAGGGUGAGGGGAUAGAAGGGAUCAUGUGUGUUUCCUUCCCUUGUCAUUUUCAUACAAGAUCUGGAAGCUCUCCCCAUGGAGGGAUGUGUGCAGGGAACUCCCUGCUUACUCUGAGAUAGAGGAAGUGGAAUGAAGAAGAAAGAGGUAACCAGCAGUCAGCUAAUCAGCUUGUGAGGAAGUUGGGUGGCUUUGUGAUAUGCUGACUGCCUUCUUCUCAGAGGGUGGGCUUUCUCCAAGGGAUGUAGUGGAGAUUGGCAUUCAGAGGAGGCUGUUUUUUUCUCAUUGUGAUCAGACUGUGUGCUCAACUGUGUGGUGUGUGUGUGUGUGUGUGUGUUUUUUUUUUGUUUGUUUUUGUUUUGUGUUUUUUACAAAAGGAGACUGAUCUGAAUGUACUUGCUUAAUAGCACAAUUACUUUCUCUACAGUAACACUAGUAUUGCUGGCCAGAGGUAAUAAGGAAAUCUAAAAUAAAAUUAUUUCACAAAAAAAGUACAUGGUCCCUUUAAGACUGUGGCGCAUGAUUCUUCUUUGUCAGUACUAUCGUUUCCAAAAUGUGCGUUAGAGACUUUGCCUCCAUUAGAGGUUACUGCCACUCUACAGCCGCCAGGUGAAUGAAAGGAGGUAUCCCAAUGGCUAGGGCAGUAGAAUGGACUUGGGAACACUAGUUCAAGUUCCUGCUGUCUCAGACUCCCUGUGAGACAUGGAGCAAGUUACUUAGGGCUUGGCUACACUGGAGAGUUGCAGCGCCGGUGGUGGCUUUACAGCGCUGCAACUCACUCACUGUCCACACUUGCAAGGCGCAUACAGUGCUGUAUCUCCCUGGCUACAGCGCUGGUUGUACUCCACCUCGACUUGGAGAAUAAUGACUAUAGCGCUGCUGAUGCAGCGCUGCUCCGCCAGUGUGGCCAUCAAAAGCGCUGUUACUGGCCUCCAGAGGUAUUCGGCAGUAUCCCAGAAUGCCUGUUCAGCCACUCUGCUCAUCAGUUCGAACUCUGCUGUCCUGGCCUCAGGUGACCAAGCGUCAGACCUGCCCUUUAAAUGCCCCAGGAAUUUUAAAAAUCACUUUCCUGUUUGCUCAGCCAGGUGUAGAGUGCAAUCAGUGAAUCUUUCCAGGUGACGAUGGCUCCACGUGGCAAACGAGCCACAGCAUGGAGCAAUGGCAAGUUGCUGAACCUCAUCAGUGUUUGGGGGGAGGAAGCUGUGCAGUCCCAGCUGCGCUCCAGCUGUAGAAAUUACGAUACCUAUGGGCAGAUAUCAAGGGCCAUGCUGGAAAGGGGCCAUGACCGGGACACGCUGUAGUGCAGGGUUAAAGUGAAGGAGCUGCGGAGUGCCUACUGCAAAGCCCGUGAGGGAAACUGCUGCUCCAGUGCUGCCCCGAUGACCUGCCAUUUUUACAAAGAGCUGGACGUGAUACUUGGGGGUGACCCCACCUCCACUCCAAGGACCACAAUGGACACUUCAAAGCAGGGGCAGGAGGAGGAGGAGGAAAGUGAGAGUGAGGGACUGGGGUGGAGGAGACACCCUGGAGUCCCAGGAGGCAUGCGGCCAGGAGCUUUUCUCAAGCCAAGAGGAAGGUAGCCAGUCACAGCAGCCGGUACUUGGUGGAGGACAAGCAGAGGAGCGGGUUACCGAUGCAAUCUUGACAUCUCGGCUGCCUGUGUUAUCAUCAGCUGAGAGACUUCAAAACCUCCGGAAGAAGCCACAAAAAAGCAAAGAAGACAUGCUGCAAGCAGUUAUGCAGCACUCUGUCACAGAGAAUCAAAAAGUGCAGGACUGGAGGGAAAGGGAAAGCAAGAUCCGCCAGAGAAAUGCAGCGGACAGGAAGAAAAGCACAAAGCAGCUGAUAAGCAUCCUGGAGCACCAAGCAGACUCUAUCCAGGCACUUGUAGCCAUGCAGGCGCAGCACUACCGUGCCCGCCUCCACUGCCACCCUUGUCCCAAAGCUCUUUCCCUUGUGUCCCCAUGUCAGCUCAAAAUCCCUUUCCCCAGCAUCCAGGUUCUUACCACCACCACCAGCUGCCUCCAACACUUGUACGUUCACCAGGCUGCCCUGAGAACUACGACCAUUACCCUCUGCACUCAACUCCCCUCACCAUGCAGUGUAGCCAUCCUGAAGUGCAGCAGUCUUUGCACAGCACUCCAGACAGGACAUAUUCAAACCUGUGACUGUACAGUUCCCCACCCCACCCCGCUGCCCUUUUAGGUUCCCAAAAACUUGUGUUUGUCAAUAAAGUUAUUUUCCUUUCAAUAAAUGAA